UUUUAUGAGAGUUUGAUCCUGGCUCAGGAUGAACGCUGGCGGCGUGCCUAACACAUGCAAGUCGAGCGAUUUACUUCGGUAAAGAGCGGCGGACGGGUGAGUAACGCGUGGGUAACCUGCCUCAUACACAUGGAUAACAUACCGAAAGGUAUGCUAAUACAGGAUAAUAUAAGAGAUUCACAUGGAUUUYUUAUCAAAGCUCCGGCGGUAUGAGAUGGACCCGCGUCUGAUUAGCUAGUUGGUAAGGUAAUGGCUUACCAAGGCGACGAUCAGUAGCCGACCUGAGAGGGUGAUCGGCCACAUUGGAACUGAGACACGGUCCAAACUCCUACGGGAGGCAGCAGUGGGGAAUAUUGCACAAUGGGCGAAAGCCUGAUGCAGCAACGCCGCGUGAGUGAUGAAGGCCUUCGGGUCGUAAAACUCUGUCCUCAAGGAAGAUAAUGACGGUACUUGAGGAGGAAGCCCCGGCUAACUACGUGCCAGCAGCCG
Molecule: ribosomal RNA, 489 nt
Filed under: Terrisporobacter glycolicus
Lineage: Bacteria; Bacillati; Bacillota; Clostridia; Peptostreptococcales; Peptostreptococcaceae
Description: bacterial SSU rRNA
Source: RNAcentral